GCAUCGUUGGUUCAGUGGAAGAAUGCUUGCCUUUCAAGUAGGCGACACGGGUUCGAUUCCUGGCCGAUGCU
Non-coding RNA from Heligmosomoides polygyrus, 71 nucleotides. The record is from Rfam. Lineage: Eukaryota; Metazoa; Nematoda; Chromadorea; Rhabditida; Heligmosomidae.